This 468-nucleotide ribosomal RNA is filed under the name uncultured bacterium. RNAcentral's name for it is "partial 16S ribosomal RNA". It matches the Rfam family "Bacterial small subunit ribosomal RNA", at positions 28 to 507 of the family's 1533-position model. The record is from RNAcentral.
GACGAACGCUGGCGGCGUGCUUAACACAUGCAAGUCGAACGGAAAGGCCCUGCUUUUGUGGGGUGCUCGAGUGGCGAACGGGAGCGUAACACGUGAGUAACCUGCCCUUGACUUUGGGAUAACUUCAGGAAACUGGGGCUAAUACCGGAUAGGAGCUCCUGCUGCAUGGUGGGGGUUGGAAAGUUUCGGCGGUUGGGGAUGGACUCGCGGCUUAUCAGCUUGUUGGUGGGGUAGUGGCUUACCAAGGCUUUGACGGGUAGCCGGCCUGAGAGGGUGACCGGCCACAGUGGGACUGAGAUACGGCCCAGACUCCUACGGGAGGCAGCAGUGUGGAAUAUUGCACAAUGGGCGGAAGCCUGAUGCAGCAACGCCGCGUGCGGGAUGACGGCCUGCGGGUUGGAAGCCGCUUUCGCCUGUGACGAAGCGUGUGUGACGGUAAUGGGUAAAGAAGCACCGGCUAACUACGUG